Cynara cardunculus var. scolymus (artichoke) is the source of this 214-nucleotide small nucleolar RNA. RefSeq annotates it as small nucleolar RNA U3. NCBI's taxonomy places the organism in Eukaryota, Viridiplantae, Streptophyta, Magnoliopsida, Asterales, Asteraceae. The transcript has a single exon. The record is from RefSeq and is a predicted model, not a curated record.
ACGACCUUACUUGAACAGGAUCUGUUCUAUAGGCUCGUACCUCUGUAUUCUUGAUUCCUAAGAAGACAGUAACCCAUGUCUGGUUGAUGAGCCAGAACCAUGUAGCCAGAGCGUGAUUAACCGAGACCCAUGGUCUAGGCCAUGGCUCAGUAGAUGAUCGUUGCCAUCCCGUAUGAUCGUGUCUUGGCAUGGUUACAUGGUUGUCUGACAGAUA